CGGAUAUGGUGUAAUGGUAACAUACCGGCUUCCCAAGCCGUUGUCACGGGUUCGAAUCCCGCUAUCCG
RNAcentral lists this transfer RNA (68 nucleotides) under uncultured Phascolarctobacterium sp. It matches the Rfam family "tRNA". From Rfam's summary of the family: Transfer RNA (tRNA) molecules are approximately 80 nucleotides in length. The record is from RNAcentral. Lineage: Bacteria; Bacillati; Bacillota; Negativicutes; Acidaminococcales; Acidaminococcaceae.